CCUACGGGAGGCAGCAGUGGGGAAUAUUGCACAAUGGGGGAAACCCUGAUGCAGCGACGCCGCGUGAGUGAAGAAGUAAUUCGUUAUGUAAAGCUCUAUCAGCAGGGAAGAAAAUGACGGUACCUGAGUAAGAAGCCCCGGCUAACUACGUGCCAGCAGCCGCGGUAAUACGUAGGGGGCAAGCGUUAUCCGGAUUUACUGGGUGGAAAGGGAGCGUAGCCGGCAGUGCAAGUCUGGAGUGAAAGGCGGGGGCUCAACCCCCGGACUGCUCUGGAAACUGUACGGCUGGAGUGCAGGAGAGGUAAGUGGACUUCCUAGUGUAGCGGUGAAAUGCGUAGAUAUUAGGAGGAACACCAGUGGCGAAGGCGGCUUACUGGACUGUAACUGACGUUGAGGCUCGAACGCGUGGGGAGCAAACAGGAUUAGAUACCCCGGUAGUC
RNAcentral lists this ribosomal RNA (440 nucleotides) under uncultured bacterium. Its description in RNAcentral is "partial 16S ribosomal RNA". It matches the Rfam family "Bacterial small subunit ribosomal RNA", at positions 338 to 795 of the family's 1533-position model. The record is from RNAcentral.